GACGAACGCUGGCGGCGUGCUUAACACAUGCAAGUCGAACGGAAAGGCCCUGCUUUUGUGGGGUGCUCGAGUGGCGAACGGGUGAGAAACACGUGAGUAACCUGCCCUUGACUUUGGGAUAACUUCAGGAAACUGGGGCUAAUACCGGAUAGGAGCUCCUGCUGCAUGGUGGGGGUUGGAAAGUUUCGGCGGUUGGGGAUGGACUCGCGGCUUAUCAGCUUGUUGGUGGGGUAGUGGCUUACCAAGGCUUUGACGGGUAGCCGGCCUGAGAGGGUGACCGGCCACAUUGGGACUGAGAUACGGCCCAGACUCCUACGGGAGGCAGCAGUGGGGAAUAUUGCACAAUGGGCGGAAGUCUGAUGCAGCAACGCCGCGUGCGGGAUGACGGCCUUCGGGUUGUAAACCGCUUUCGCCUGUGACGUGGCGUGAGUGACGGUAAUGAGUAAGGAAGCACCGGCUAACUACGUG
RNAcentral lists this ribosomal RNA (468 nucleotides) under uncultured bacterium. Its description in RNAcentral is "partial 16S ribosomal RNA". It matches the Rfam family "Bacterial small subunit ribosomal RNA", at positions 28 to 507 of the family's 1533-position model. The record is from RNAcentral.